Herpailurus yagouaroundi (jaguarundi) is the source of this 1769-nucleotide long non-coding RNA. RefSeq lists it as uncharacterized. The record is from RefSeq and is a predicted model, not a curated record. Lineage: Eukaryota; Metazoa; Chordata; Mammalia; Carnivora; Felidae. The transcript has 2 exons.
UCGGGGAGUGGGGGCCGGGCGCCCGCAGCUCUGCGCCUCUGCUGCUCGCAGCGCACUUCCUGUCGCGGGGACGCCGAGGGCGCCGGCCGUCUCCUGGGGCGCGGCGUCUGGACGGGCAGGUCGUAGCCGGGAGGAGAGGGCGCGCUUCCGCGGGGAACCGGGGAAGGACACGCCGGUGACAGAGCUGGUGCUGCUGAGAGGCCCGGAACGGGGCGAAGCGGGUCCCCGCGCGGACGCGGGCCGAGGGGCGGGGCGUGCAGACCGUGUGUGCAGGAGCGUACGGGCUCCCUCGGGCUGUUGCCGGUGGCGGGAAGGGGGCUUGGGGCUGCGGUUGAGGGACAGGGAGCCAGGUCUGGAACGCGAGGGCAGGGCCAGGAGGGGCUGGGCAGGAGACAAGAGAAAGCGAGGGCCUCGGGCCUCGCAGACCUGCACCUGGCUGGCCGUGGGGGCGAGAGGAACAGAGGAGGCAGGGGGUGCAGGCGUGGCCUGUGGGACUGGCAGGUGCUGACCCGGCCUCCAAGCGCAGCACCGCCUCCAGGCGCAGUAGGAAGAAACGCUGGUGGGGAAAGACCUUUGGGUGUGAGACGCUUGAGGGACGCAGGUAAACAGUUACUAUAAAAUAGGGUCCGGAGCCGAUAAGAAGGCUCUGGCUUUCGUGAGAUCAUCGAGGAGAGCGGAUCCUGGGAGAGGAGAGCAAAGGACUGACCCUCAGAAACCUAGACAGUUGUGAUGUUGGCUAACAGACAAAAGCCUGGGAAGGAAACCAGAAAAUGAAGAGCAGGUAUUAGGAGAGUCGGACAGAGAAGUGUGCCAGAAGCUGAGGUCGAGAGGGUGACUAAACCAAUGGGAACAAUGACUUGGGAAGAUGAAGUGAAGACAGGUUGAAAUGUGGGUUGGGAAAUCAGGGAGACUUGGGGAGAGCAGGCUGGCUACAGCACCGGGAGCAGGAGCUGAGAAGUAAGGCGGGUGAGUGUGGAGCCUAAGAUCUAUGGGGGCUGAGAUGGCAUUUUAGUUGUCUUUGAUUUCCCAUCGCUGGGCAUAGAGUAGCGUUGGGGCUCAAUGGUGCUGUUCUUUAAGGAAUCAGUAUACAGAGAAGAGAGCUGAGCUUCUUUCUGGCAGCUUGUGCAGAGGAAGAGACCAGAGAGAAUAGCAUUGAGGAGUGGAGGAGUGAGCUGUGAACAAAAACCAGGACUCUUGUCACAGAGACAAAGCAAAGGAUGAAGGGUGUAUCUGCAGUGGCCACUGUGAUCCAGACAGCAAGGAGAAAAUGAGGCAGCGCAGGGCAGGGCAGGGCAGAGCGGAGCUCUGAAUCCAGGUCUUAUUUCCCUAUCUGGUGGAGGGAGAGGAGGCAGAAGUGAAAUAAAUGGCUCAAUGGGGCUCAGCCGACCAGAAAACACCAGCAGGGACAUCCCGGUGUCUGGGACAGAGGCUAGAACUGACAUGCCCCAGAAAGUCCCAACCUGUGUGGGGUUCAGGGAUAAGAGGAAGAAAACCAAAAUGGAGACAUCAUAAUCACUUUCCUGGGAUCAAUGGAAAUAUCUUUGAAAUUGAUCCUUGAGCAUUUUUUAUUUGUAGUGACUUCUGUGAAUGGAUAAUUUUCUUCAUAAUUUCGUGUUGAUUUUUUGUAUCAUAUAGGAAUUCACUGAUUGUUAUUAAGUAAUGAUAUAUUUUACCCUUUCAUUCCUUUGAUAUUUUUGGAAGUCUGAUAAUAAUUUGAUGGUUCCAGAUAUGUAAUCAGAAUGCAAAAAUAUUAAUUAUUUUACUCCUAA